Molecule: ribosomal RNA, 496 nt
Filed under: uncultured bacterium
Lineage: Bacteria
Description: partial 16S ribosomal RNA
Rfam family: Bacterial small subunit ribosomal RNA
Source: RNAcentral
GAUGGACGCUGGCGGCGUGCCUAAUACAUGCAAGUCGAGCGAACAGACGAGGAGCUUGCUCCUCUGACGUUAGCGGCGGACGGGUGAGUAACACGUGGAUAACCUACCUAUAAGACUGGGAUAACUUCGGGAAACCGGAGCUAAUACCGGAUAAUAUAUUGAACCGCAUGGUUCAAUAGAGAAAGACGGUUUUGCUGUCACUUAUAGAUGGAUCCGCGCCGCAUUAGCUAGUUGGUAAGGUACGGCUUACCAAGGCGACGAUGCGUAGCCGACCUGAGAGGGUGAUCGGCCACACUGGAACUGAGACACGGUCCAGACUCCUACGGGAGGCAGCAGUAGGGAAUCUUCCGCAAUGGGCGAAAGCCUGACGGAGCAACGCCGCGUGAGUGAUGAAGGUCUUCGGAUCGUAAAACUCUGUUAUUAGGGAAGAACAAAUGUGUAAGUAACUAUGCACGUCUUGACGGUACCUAAUCAGAAAGCCACGGCUAACUACGUG